Molecule: small nuclear RNA, 135 nt
Organism: Molossus molossus (Pallas's mastiff bat)
Lineage: Eukaryota; Metazoa; Chordata; Mammalia; Chiroptera; Molossidae
Product: U4 spliceosomal RNA
Exons: 1
Source: RefSeq, a predicted model, not a curated record
AGCUUUGCACAGUGGCAGUAUUGUAGCCAAUGAUGUUCAUCUGAGGCAUGAUUAUUGCUAAUUGAAAAAACAAACAACGAAAUAUCACUGCACAAGGAUAGCUCAGAUGAAAAAGUGUGAGGAUAUCCUGUGUUA